UUAAAUUGAAGAGUUUGAUCAUGGCUCAGAUUGAACGCUGGCGGCAGGCCUAACACAUGCAAGUCGAACGGUAACAGGAAACAGCUUGCUGUUUCGCUGACGAGUGGCGGACGGGUGAGUAAUGUCUGGGAAACUGCCUGAUGGAGGGGGAUAACUACUGGAAACGGUAGCUAAUACCGCAUAACGUCGCAAGACCAAAGAGGGGGACCUUCGGGCCUCUUGCCAUCGGAUGUGCCCAGAUGGGAUUAGCUUGUUGGUGGGGUAACGGCUCACCAAGGCGACGAUCCCUAGCUGGUCUGAGAGGAUGACCAGCCACACUGGAACUGAGACACGGUCCAGACUCCUACGGGAGGCAGCAGUGGGGAAUAUUGCACAAUGGGCGCAAGCCUGAUGCAGCCAUGCCGCGUGUAUGAAGAAGGCCUUCGGGUUGUAAAGUACUUUCAGCGGGGAGGAAGGGAGUAAAGUUAAUACCUUUGCUCAUUGACGUUACCCGCAGAAGAAGCACCGGCUAACUCCGUGCCAGCAGCCGCGGUAAUACGGAGGGUGCAAGCGUUAAUCGGAAUUACUGGGCGUAAAGCGCACGCAGGCGGUUUGUUAAGUCAGAUGUGAAAUCCCCGGGCUCAACCUGGGAACUGCAUCUGAUACUGGCAAGCUUGAGUCUCGUAGAGGGGGUAGAAUUCCAGGUGUAGCGGUGAAAUGCGUAGAGAUCUGGAGGAAUACCGGUGGCGAAGGCGGCCCCCUGGACGAAGACUGACGCUCAGGUGCGAAAGCGUGGGGAGCAAACAGGAUUAGAUACCCUGGUAGUCCACGCCGUAAACGAUGUCGACUUGGAGGUUGUGCCCUUGAGGCGUGGCUUCCGGAGCUAACGCGUUAAGUCGACCGCCUGGGGAGUACGGCCGCAAGGUUAAAACUCAAAUGAAUUGACGGGGGCCCGCACAAGCGGUGGAGCAUGUGGUUUAAUUCGAUGCAACGCGAAGAACCUUACCUGGUCUUGACAUCCACAGAACUUUCCAGAGAUGGAUUGGUGCCUUCGGGAACUGUGAGACAGGUGCUGCAUGGCUGUCGUCAGCUCGUGUUGUGAAAUGUUGGGUUAAGUCCCGCAACGAGCGCAACCCUUAUCCUUUGUUGCCAGCGGUCCGGCCGGGAACUCAAAGGAGACUGCCAGUGAUAAACUGGAGGAAGGUGGGGAUGACGUCAAGUCAUCAUGGCCCUUACGACCAGGGCUACACACGUGCUACAAUGGCGCAUACAAAGAGAAGCGACCUCGCGAGAGCAAGCGGACCUCAUAAAGUGCGUCGUAGUCCGGAUUGGAGUCUGCAACUCGACUCCAUGAAGUCGGAAUCGCUAGUAAUCGUGGAUCAGAAUGCCACGGUGAAUACGUUCCCGGGCCUUGUACACACCGCCCGUCACACCAUGGGAGUGGGUUGCAAAAGAAGUAGGUAGCUUAACCUUCGGGAGGGCGCUUACCACUUUGUGAUUCAUGACUGGGGUGAAGUCGUAACAAGGUAACCGUAGGGGAACCUGCGGUUGGAUCACCUCCUUACCUUAAAGAAGC
RNAcentral lists this ribosomal RNA (1555 nucleotides) under Escherichia coli. RNAcentral describes it as "bacterial SSU rRNA". It matches the Rfam family "Bacterial small subunit ribosomal RNA". Lineage: Bacteria; Pseudomonadati; Pseudomonadota; Gammaproteobacteria; Enterobacterales; Enterobacteriaceae. The record is from RNAcentral.